Molecule: ribosomal RNA, 1346 nt
Filed under: uncultured bacterium
Lineage: Bacteria
Description: partial 16S ribosomal RNA
Rfam family: Bacterial small subunit ribosomal RNA
Source: RNAcentral
GACGAACGCUGGCGGCGUGCUUAACACAUGCAAGUCGAACGGAAAGGCCCUGCUUUUGUGGGGUGCUCGAGUGGCGAACGGGUGAGUAACACGUGAGUAACCUGCCCUUGACUUUGGGAUAACUUCAGGAAACUGGGGCUAAUACCGGAUAGGAGCUCCUGCUGCAUGGUGGGGGUUGGAAAGUUUCGGCGGUUGGGGAUGGACUCGCGGCUUAUCAGCUUGUUGGUGGGGUAGUGGCUUACCAAGGCUUUGACGGGUAGCCGGCCUGAGAGGGUGACCGGCCACAUUGGGACUGAGAUACGGCCCAGACUCCUACGGGAGGCAGCAGUGGGGAAUAUUGCACAAUGGGCGGAAGCCUGAUGCAGCAACGCCGCGUGCGGGAUGACGGCCUUCGGGUUGUAAACCGCUUUCGCCUGUGACGAAGCGUGAGUGACGGUAAUGGGUAAAGAAGCACCGGCUAACUACGUGCCAGCAGCCGCGGUGAUACGUAGGGUGCGAGCGUUGUCCGGAUUUAUUGGGCGUAAAGGGCUCGUAGGUGGUUGAUCGCGUCGGAAGUGUAAUCUUGGGGCUUAACCCUGAGCGUGCUUUCGAUACGGGUUGACUUGAGGAAGGUAGGGGAGAAUGGAAUUCCUGGUGGAGCGGUGGAAUGCGCAGAUAUCAGGAGGAACACCAGUGGCGAAGGCGGUUCUCUGGGCCUUUCCUGACGCUGAGGAGCGAAAGCGUGGGGAGCGAACAGGCUUAGAUACCCUGGUAGUCCACGCUGUAAACGGUGGGUACUAGGUGUGGGGUCCAUUCCACGGGUUCCGUGCCGUAGCUAACGCUUUAAGUACCCCGCCUGGGGAGUACGGCCGCAAGGCUAAAACUCAAAGGAAUUGGCGGGGCCCCGCACAAGCGGCGGAGCAUGCGGAUUAAUUCGAUGCAACGCGUAGAACCUUACCUGGGUUUGACAUGGAUCGGGAGUGCUCAGAGAUGGGUGUGCCUCUUUUGGGGUCGGUUCACAGGUGGUGCAUGGCUGUCGUCAGCUCGUGUCGUGAGAUGUUGGGUUAAGUCCCGCAACGAGCGCAACCCUAGUUCACUGUUGCCAGCACGUUAUGGUGGGGACUCAGUGGAGACCGCCGGGGUCAACUCGGAGGAAGGUGGGGAUGACGUCAAGUCAUCAUGCCCCUUAUGUCCAGGGCUUCACGCAUGCUACAAUGGCUGGUACAGAGAGUGGCGAGCCUGUGAGGGUGAGCGAAUCUCGGAAAGCCGGUCUCAGUUCGGAUUGGGGUCUGCAACUCGACCUCAUGAAGUCGGAGUCGCUAGUAAUCGCAGAUCAGCAACGCUGCGGUGAAUACGUUCCCGGGGCU